This is a non-coding RNA of Picea glauca (white spruce), 1735 nucleotides long. Lineage: Eukaryota; Viridiplantae; Streptophyta; Pinopsida; Pinales; Pinaceae. The record is from Rfam.
AAAAAUAAGAGUUUGAUCUUUACUCAAAAUGAACGCUAGUUAUAUGCUUAACAAAUGCAAGUCGAACGUAGCUUGCUUCCCCAUACAUCCAUGUGGGGGCAGAAGGGAAAGAGGAAUGACCCCCUCCUAGCACGUGCUCACUCACUCAAAUGAUAUGCAAGUGGUGCGUCGGGCAUGGGUAACAAUAAGAAAAGUGGCGAACGGAUGCGUAACACAUGGGAAUCUAUCGAACAGUUCACUCCAAAUCCUGAAUAAUUCAUAAAGCGAGCUAAUUUUCAUUUUUUGAUGAGCUCGCGUAGUAUUAAGUAGUUUGUUAGGUAAAGGAUGACCAAUACAAUGAUGCUUAGUUGGUCUUUUUGGAUGAUCAACCACAUUGGUACUGAGACAUGACCUAGAAUCCCUUGGGGCGAAGCAGUGGGGAAUAUUGGACAAUGGGCUCACGCCCGAUCCAACAAUAUCGCGUGGGUGAAUAAGGGCAUUGUUGCUUGUCAAGAUAUUUCGUCGAGUUUCGAUCAUGACAGGACUCGAGGAAGAAGCCUCGACUAACUCUAUUCCAGCAACCAUGAUAAGACAGGGGGGUAAGUGUUAUUCGAAGUGACUGGGCGUAAAGGGCAUGUAGGCGGUGAAAAGGGUGGAAAGUGAAAGUUACCAAAGCACUCGUGGGGUGAUUUCUUUACCAUUUCACUUGAGUGAGAUAGGGGAGACUGGAAUUUCAUGUGGAGGGAUCAAAUCCUAAGAUAUAUGAAGGAACACCAACCACGAAAGCAUCUCUUUGGGUCCCCACUGACGCUGGGGUGAAAAAUCAUAGGGAGAAAACAUGAUCAGAUAACCUGGUAGUAUACGCCAUAAGCGUUGAGUGUUCGCCCUUGGUAUACUUACCUGCUAGGUAGGAUUAGGAUCAGGGAUCCAGCUAACGCAUGAAACACUUUACCUGGGGAGUACGGUUGCAAGACUGAAACUCAAAGGAAUUGAUGGGGGCCUGCACAAGCGGUGGAGCAUGUUGUUUAAUUUGAUACAAUGUGCAGAACCUUACCAGCCCUUGACAUAUGAAUAAGUGUGCAUGUCCCUAAUGGGAUGGUGUGAAAAUUCAUAUAUGUUUUGCAUGGCUAUCAUCAUCUCGUGUCGUGAGAUGUUUUGUUAAGUCCUAUAAUGAGAAAAACCCUCAUUUUUUGUUGUUGAGACAUGCACUGAUAGAUCAAUGUCAUCGCCCCUUGUCAAUGAAUCAAUAGGGUGAGGCAAGAACCUCUUUUUUUAUUGAUGACACUCCUAUGAAGGAAGGUGCAUGUUUCACUCACAAGAGACUGCCAGUGAUAUGUUGGAGGAAGGUGGGGAUGAUGUCAAGUCUACAUGUCCCUUAUGGGUUGGACCACACAUGUUCUACAAUGGAAAUGAAAAUGGGAAGAAAGGUCGUAAGGCAUAGUGAAUCCAGAAAGAUUGUCUCAGUUCAGAUUGUUCUCUGCAACUCAAGAACAUGAAGUUGGAAUCGCUAGUAAUCGCAGAUCAGCAUGCCAUGGUGAAUAUGUACCCGGGCCCUGUACACACUGCCCGUCACACCCUGGGAGUUGAUUUUUCCUGAAGCAUCAAACCAAUGAUCACCCUAUCUAUAUAUGUUCCACUAGUGUGGCCCACGAAGGUUGGGGUGGUAUUAUUGGUGCAUACCAUGGUGGGGUCUUUGACUGGGGUGAAGUCGUAACAAGGUAUUCAUAGAGGAACCCGUGGCUAGAUCGAAUCCCUU